RNAcentral lists this transfer-messenger RNA (364 nucleotides) under Bacteroidia. Its description in RNAcentral is "QQVM01 sp003389385 Standard tmRNA". It matches the Rfam family "transfer-messenger RNA". Rfam says of the family: Bacterial tmRNA, also known as 10Sa RNA or SsrA, is named for its dual tRNA and mRNA-like properties. Its role is to liberate the mRNA from a stalled ribosome. To accomplish this part of the tmRNA is used as a reading frame that ends in a translation stop signal. Lineage: Bacteria; Pseudomonadati; Bacteroidota. RNAcentral also lists the same sequence under 1 other name. The record is from RNAcentral.
GGGGCUGACAGGAAUUGACAGCUUGUGAAAUUGAUAAGUAAGCAUGCCGAGCGCGGUAAGCAUUCUCGUAAAACAAUGCUUUCAAAGCUGUAAAAGGCAACAAUGACUACGCGUUAGCCGCUUAAUCCAAGAUUAAUCAGUUAACUGCUUCCGGGAGACCUGCUCACCCGUUUCCCUUCAGGAAGCAUCGCAUGGUGAGUAAGCUGUGGUGAUUUUCCGGCGCCUCAGCCGAAACCAACGGAAAUAAGCGGAAUGGUGGCGAGUGUUUAGCAGCCAUUUCGACCAAAAUUAAAUAACACUAAGCAUGUAGAAAGUUUAUUGAUUGCUUGUCUGGACGCGGGUUCAAAUCCCGCCAGCUCCACUA